UCGUGCGAUUCGCCUUACUGCUCAGUAACACGUGGCUAACCUGCCCUUGGGACGAGAACAACCCCGGGAAACUGGGGCUAAUUCUCGAUAGGUGAAGAACUCUGGAAUGAGUCUCCGCUUAAAAGACGCUUGCGCUAUGCUUGCAGGUGUCGCCCAAGGAUGGGGCCGCGACCGAUCAGGUUGUUGGUGAGGUAAUGGCUCACCAAGCCUUUUACCGGUGCGGGCCGUGAGAGCGGGAGCCCGGAGAUGGGCACUGAGACAAGGGCCCAGGCCCUACGGGGCGCAGCAGUCGCGAAAACUUUGCAAUAAGCGAAAGCUUGACAGGGCUAUCCCGAGUGCCAUCCGCUGAGGAAGGCUUUUACCCAGUCUAGAACGCUGGGGGAAUAAGGAGAGGGCAAGUCUGGUGUCAGCCGCCGCGGUAAUACCAGCUCUCCGAGUGGUGUGGAUGUUUAUUGGGCCUAAAGCAUCCGUAGCUGGCUAGGUUAGUCCCUUGUUAAAUCCACCGAAUUAAUCGUUGGAUUGCGGGGGAUACUGCCUGGCUAGGGGACGAGAGAGGCAGACGGUAUUUCCAGGGUAGGGGUGAAAUCCUAUAAUCCCGGGAAGACCACCAGUGGCGAAAGCUGUCUGCUAGAACGCGCCCGACGUGAGGGAUGAAAGCUGGGGGAGCGAACCGGAUUAGAUACCCGGGUAGUCCCAGCUGUAAACGAUGCAGACUAGUGUUUGGACGGCCACGUGCCGUUCUAGUGCGCAGGUAGCUGUAAGUCUGCCGCCUGGGAGUACGAUCGCAAGAUGAACUAAAGAUUGGCGGGAGCCAGCGAUCGUUAAACUGCAGACUAGUCCCUUACUGAAGUAUUCGAGCUUGGUAUCAGCCUAAGCUGAUCUGUGACAUGAACGUCAAUCCACACAUCGAUCGACCUAAAGGUCAC
This 926-nucleotide ribosomal RNA is filed under the name uncultured archaeon. RNAcentral's name for it is "bacterial SSU rRNA". It matches the Rfam family "Archaeal small subunit ribosomal RNA". The record is from RNAcentral.